UGCGUAGGGUGCAAGCGUUGUCCGGAAUUAUUGGGCGUAAAGAGCUCGUAGGCGGCUUGUCGCGUCGGCUGUGAAAACCUAGGGCUCAACCCUGGGCCUGCAGCCGAUACGGGCAAGCUAGAAUUCGGUAGGGGAGACUGGAAUUCCUGGUGUAGCGGUGAAAUGCGCAGAUAUCAGGAGGAACACCGGUGGCGAAGGCGGGUCUCUGGGCCGAUAUUGACGCUGAGGAGCGAAAGCGUGGGGAGCGAACAGG
RNAcentral lists this ribosomal RNA (253 nucleotides) under uncultured bacterium. RNAcentral describes it as "partial 16S ribosomal RNA". It matches the Rfam family "Bacterial small subunit ribosomal RNA", at positions 524 to 776 of the family's 1533-position model. The record is from RNAcentral.